UGUUUGGCACCUCGAUGUCGGCUCAUCACAUCCUGGGGCUGAAGCCGGUCCCAAGGGUAUGGCUGUUCGCCAUUUAAAGUGGUACGCGAGCUGGGUUUAGAACGUCGUGAGACAGUUCGGUCCCUAUCUGCCGUGGGCGUUUGAGAAUUGAGAGGAGCUGCUCCUAGUACGAGAGGACCGGAGUGGACGUACCCCUGGUGUUCGGGUUGUUGUGCCAACAGCAUUGCCCGGUAGCUAUGUACGGACGGGAUAACCGCUGAAAGCAUCUAAGCGGGAAGCCCCCCUCAAGAUAAGUUCUCACUGGGAUUUAAUCCCCUGAAGGGCCGUGGAAGACUACCACGUUGAUAGGCUGGGUGUGGAAGUGCAGUAAUGUAUGGAGCUAACCAGUACUAAUUGCCCGUGAGGCUUGACCAU
This 414-nucleotide ribosomal RNA is filed under the name marine sediment metagenome. RNAcentral's name for it is "bacterial LSU rRNA". It matches the Rfam family "Bacterial large subunit ribosomal RNA", at positions 2515 to 2925 of the family's 2925-position model. The record is from RNAcentral.